AUAUUAUGAGGUUAUCCCUCCUAAGUUUGAUGAGCUUCUGAAGUUAGUGCUACUAAUUAAAAAACAGGACACUAAAAUGAGAAAAGCAAUAUUAUGCCGAACAAAAUUCAAAUCAUUUUAAGAUACGUUGCAAGUGGAGACAAUUCGAAAUCACUUUAAUAUUUGUUCAGAGUACCACAUAAUACGAUUUCUACAUUUUUACCUUAUGUGCUAACUGCUAUAUGUGAAGUACUGGAUCCAUUUUUAAAGGUUCCUAACACAGAGAAUUAAUGGAUCCAAAUUCAGCAAGUUUUUGAAACAACCUGGAACUUCCCUAAUUGUUGUGGUGCUCUAGAUGGUAAACAUGUGCCUGCAAAUUAAAAGACCAAACAAUUCAACGUCAAUGUUCUAUAACUACAAAGGAACGUACAGUAUUGUGCUGUUUGUUUUAGUUGACGGAGAUUACUGCUUUCGUUAUAUUGAUGUUAGUAGAGUAAGUGAAGGUAGAGCUAGUGACAGCACAAUUUUUCAAAAAUCUACAUUACAUAGUGCUUUGGAGCAAAAUUUGCUAAACUACCCAAAAGGAGAUGUUAUUGUGGGUGAUAACAUUUUUCCAUUAGGCUCAAACUUGUUGUCGAGGGCUAGAAGAUUAAUCGAGAACGCUUUCGGUAUUUUACCUUCGAGGUUUAGAGUGUUUAGCAACUGUCUGCAACUGCCCCCCUGGAUCUGUGGAUUAGGAAGACACAACGACAGAUGAUUUUACCCCUGGCUCAUGGAGAGAAGUUCCAACUGCGUUACAUAGAAUAAACAGGCAGUACAAAUCGAACAAUUAUUCUGCAGACGGGGACGAUGUCCGUCGAGCUUAUGAACAUGCUUUUGUGACUCAUAUGGCAGGAAAAAUAUUGUUAUAUAAGAAAAUCCAAUGUUACUUACAAUUAAGUGCAAACAAUAUACAUUACUACAUUGUAAAAUUAACAUCUGUUUACAUUUAUGUGGUUUUUUACUUACCAGGUUUGAUAAUGACUGCCUUCCAAAUAUAACUUGGUUCCAAAAAGCAUCAGCUGUAGUGAACCAUAAUAAUUUAGGCUUUAUACAUCAUCCACGCGGGCCCCUCUUCUUCUACUUUUUUUAAUUUUAUUCAACUCAUUCCUGUAUGUAUACGUCGCGAAUUUUAAUUUUCUUUUUUAGGGCUUCUUCCCGCGCUGGUAACCCACUAUCUUGAAGCUGAGUGAUUAGUUCAGCAGAAGCAAUUAUUUUUGCUUCCCGGUUUAAGUAAUCGGAUGAUUUCGUGUUCCACAAACAUUCAUAUUUUCUAUUUAUGUCGAGAAAUGUUAUUAUUUCAUUACCGGACCACUUAAGGUCACUUAGCAUGUGGUUGCGUUGAGCUGCCGCCAAGGCCAAGACACUGCUACUGCGAUGUCAUAUCGGUGACAUACUUGCCGCUACUAGGUCACAUGACCGCUCAAGGCUGCUACUAGCGCCAAAAAGUUGAACAUGUCCAUCUAGUAGCCGCUACUACCUAUGUUAGACUACGCUACUAACUAGCGGCUAGCUUAGUAGCCUAAUGUGACACAUUCUUUAUUAUAAUGAACAGUAGUGCUACAUUUGACACAGAAUUAAUUAGUUACAUUGUGAAUAGGUACUUUGAAAUACUACACAAACAGGUUUAAAUACAAAUUCUUUGUUUUUGCAAUUGCAUAAUUCAAAGAAGUUUUGUACUCUCAUUAGGAUUAUUCUUCAAGUAAUCAUUAAAUAUUGUUAUCAAAUUAUGAACUUUAUGUAUCUUAUUGAAUUUUAUAAUAAAACAAAACUGUUCUGCUUAGGAGUUGGAAUAUCUGAAAUUUUUUCCAAAUCGUUUUGUAAUAUUAUAAUAAAGUGCAUCAGGGUGAUUACUGCAAGGUUAGUCAUAUUACCAGUUGAAAAAAGGUGUAAUUUAAAUAAAAAAAAACAUAAUUAUUUAAUUGAUUGUAGAUAAAUUUUUGUGAUUUUAUUUAGGAUGUAUUAUAUCAAGCAAUAUCUUUUUAGGGAGUUAGUAGUCUAUAUAUUUACAUGUGUAUUUUUCCCGAAAACCACAUUGCACUGUAGUAUAGUGAAAUUUUGUAUUGAUCUAUAACGUGCAUGGUAUUAAAUAUAAAAUAAAACUUGUGUAUUCCAGAAAUAGGUCUCAAACUGUUUGCAUUGAGCUCUGCCAUUAAAUAAUAAGUAGCUAUUUUGUACAAACAUAUUUUUUUCAUUUAAAAUACUAAAGUAACCAAAAGUACCACCCUUUUACACCAGCUUAAUUUGAAAAAGUAAUCCCAUUGUCUAAAUUUUAUGUAUAUUCAACUCAGUUUUGUUGCCGUUACUUGUAACUAUCUUUAGUUUAAAAUCAAACUUGUAAUUGUUACCUAAAAUGUUGCCUAUUGUAUCUUAAAAUUGUACAUAUUUGAAUUUAUACUCAAAUUGUUUAAUAAACAUACAAACAACCAAAAAGAA
Molecule: long non-coding RNA, 2454 nt
Organism: Diorhabda carinulata
Lineage: Eukaryota; Metazoa; Arthropoda; Insecta; Coleoptera; Chrysomelidae
Exons: 2
Source: RefSeq, a predicted model, not a curated record